This 87-nucleotide transfer RNA is filed under the name Candidatus Jorgensenbacteria bacterium. RNAcentral describes it as "tRNA-Ser". It matches the Rfam family "tRNA". From Rfam's summary of the family: Transfer RNA (tRNA) molecules are approximately 80 nucleotides in length. Their secondary structure includes four short double-helical elements and three loops (D, anti-codon, and T loops). The record is from RNAcentral. Lineage: Bacteria; Candidatus Joergenseniibacteriota.
GGAGGGGUGGCUGAGUGGCCGAAGGCGCCGCACUCGAAAUGCGGUAAGGGAGCAAUCCCUUCGUGAGUUCGAAUCUCACCCCCUCCG